CCCUAAAAAGUUCUUUAAACA
RNAcentral lists this transfer RNA (21 nucleotides) under Physalaemus gracilis (graceful dwarf frog). RNAcentral's name for it is "partial tRNA-Phe". Lineage: Eukaryota; Metazoa; Chordata; Amphibia; Anura; Leptodactylidae. The record is from RNAcentral.